CUUCAAGCCCUUGGUAGUCUGCACUUGUGUGAUGGAAAGAAGCUUCAUGGGAUUGUUCCUCGAUUGCUGCCGACUUCACUGACUUUCCUCCAGAAGAUAUUCCAGGACAAUCCCAGAAUGCAUAGCACAAAAUCCAUUGAAGAUGAGAGAAAUGUCGAUUAUAUAGAGAUGGAGCAGCUGAACUCAGACGCAGAUGUGAUUCAGUGGCACUAAAACUACAUACAGAAGACAACAACAAACUGAGAGGAGCAGAAACACAAGUGAGAGAGAAACAAAAUAAAACUCUUUCAGAGUGAAUCUCAAGAAAGACAUGGCAAGAUCGCAUUUCACCUCAAAUUUAUAAGGAAAAGAAGCCUGUUUUUCACGGAGACAUUAUUUCUCAAGGGCAUUCAAGGACAAGGAAGUACUUAUUUCUGUAAUGAGUCAUUUUUAUGCAGUAUAUUAUUUCUCAUAUUUUCUUUUUGAGCUAAAAAAAUGUACCUUCUUAACUCUGUAAGGCCUGACAUGUGAAGUAACAGUCCU
Onychostoma macrolepis is the source of this 522-nucleotide long non-coding RNA. RefSeq lists it as uncharacterized. NCBI's taxonomy places the organism in Eukaryota, Metazoa, Chordata, Actinopteri, Cypriniformes, Cyprinidae. The record is from RefSeq and is a predicted model, not a curated record. The transcript is spliced from 3 exons.